AGCGGAGGGAUCAUUACUGAGUUAUUAAAACUCCAAACCCUUUGUGAACCUUACUGUCGUUGCCUCGGCGUGAGCUACGGCUACCCUGUAGUUACCCUAUAGCUACCCUGCAGCUACCCUAUAGUUGACCAGUAGCUACCCUGUAGUUACCCUAUAGCUACCCUGCAGCUACCCUAUAGUUGACCUGUAGCUACCCUGUAGCCGGCUUAUGGCCCGCCGAAGGACCGCUAAACUCUUGUUUUUUACCACUGUUUCUCUGAAUUGUAAACUUAAAUAAGUUAAAACUUUCAACAACGGAUCUCUUGGUUCUGGCAUCGAUGAAGAACGCAGCGAAAUGCGAUAAGUAAUGUGAAUUGCAGAAUUCAGUGAAUCAUCGAAUCUUUGAACGCACAUUGCGCCCAUUAGUAUUCUAGUGGGCAUGCCUAUUCGAGCGUCAUUUCGACCCUUAAGCCCCUGUUGCUUAGCGUUGGGAAUCUACAGCGUAGUUCCUUAAAGUUAGUGGCGGAGUUAGGGUACACUCUCAGCGUAGUAAUCUUUCUCGCUCGUGUGGUGGCCCUGGCUGCUAGCCGUUAAACCCCUAUAUUUUCUAGUGGUUGACCUCGGAUUAGGUAGGAAUACCCGCUGAACUUAAGCAU
Molecule: ribosomal RNA, 635 nt
Filed under: Sordariomycetes sp.
Lineage: Eukaryota; Fungi; Ascomycota; Sordariomycetes
Description: eukaryotic LSU rRNA
Rfam family: 5.8S ribosomal RNA (bases 283-436)
Source: RNAcentral